GACGAACGCUGGCGGCGUGCUUAACACAUGCAAGUCGAACGGAAAGGCCCUGCUUUUUUGCGGUGCUCGAGUGGCGAACGGGUGCGUAACACGUGAGUAACCUGCCCUUCACUUUGGGAUAACUUCAGGAAACUGGGGCUACUACCGGAUAGCAGCCCCUGCUGCAUGGUGGGCGUUGGAACGUUUCGGCGGUUGGGGAUGGACUCGCGGCUUAUCAGCUUGUUGGUUGGGUAGUGGCUUACCCAGGCAUUGACGGGUAGCCGGCCUGGGAGGGUGGCCGGCCACAAUGGGACUGAGAUACGGCGCAGACGCCUACGGGAGGCGGCAGUGGGGAAUAUUGCACAAUGGUAGGAAGCCUGAUGCAGCGGCGCCGCGGGCGGGAUGACGGCCUGCGGGUUGUAAACCGCUUUCGCCUGUGACGAAGCGGGAGUGACGGUAAUGGGUAAAGAAGCACCGGCUAACUACGUG
This 468-nucleotide ribosomal RNA is filed under the name uncultured bacterium. RNAcentral's name for it is "partial 16S ribosomal RNA". It matches the Rfam family "Bacterial small subunit ribosomal RNA", at positions 28 to 507 of the family's 1533-position model. The record is from RNAcentral.